GACGAACGCUGGCGGCGUGCUUAACACAUGCAAGUCGAACGGAAAGGCCCUGCUUUUGUGGGGUGCUCGAGUGGCGAACGGGUGAGUAACACGUGAGUAACCUGCCCUUGACUUUGGGAUAACUUCAGGAAACUGGGGCUAAUACCGGCUAGGAGCUCCUGCUGCAUGGUGGGGGUUGGAACGUUUCGGCGGUUGGGGAUGGACUCGCGGCUUAUCAGCUUGUUGGUGGGGUAGUGGCUUACCAAGGCUUUGACGGGUAGCCGGCCUGAGAGGGUGACCGGCGACAUGGGGACUGAGAGACGGCCCAGACGCCUACGGUAGGCAGCAGGGGGGAAUAUGGCACAAUGGGCGGAAGCCUGAUGCAGCAACGCCGCGUGCGGGAUGACGGCCUUCGGGUUGGAAACCGCUUUCGCCUGAGACGAAGCGUGAGUGACGGUAAUGGGUAAAGAAGCACCGGCUAACUACGUG
Molecule: ribosomal RNA, 468 nt
Filed under: uncultured bacterium
Lineage: Bacteria
Description: partial 16S ribosomal RNA
Rfam family: Bacterial small subunit ribosomal RNA
Source: RNAcentral